Molecule: non-coding RNA, 647 nt
Filed under: Coccidioides immitis H538.4
Lineage: Eukaryota; Fungi; Ascomycota; Eurotiomycetes; Onygenales; Onygenaceae
Description: Bacterial large subunit ribosomal RNA
Rfam family: Bacterial large subunit ribosomal RNA
Source: Rfam by way of RNAcentral
AUGAGUAACGAAAAAGGAAUAAAUUUCCUCGCCUUAAGCUUAUGGUAUUUUAUUUAAAUUUCGGUAUCUAAGUUAAAUCUAUAAUAAUAUUAAUUUAUUAUUAAACCCAAAGGGGAUAUUUAAAUUAAAAACGAUGAAAAAGAGAAUAAUUGUUUACAUAACCUUUAUUAGUGAUAAAGGUUCAGGAAAAUAUAACAAUUAAGUUUUAUAUUCUCACUUAAGUAAUUAAGUUAAUAAACCGUACCUAAAUACUAACACAAGUAAGCAAGUAGAGAAUACAAAGGCGUUUGAGUGAACAAUCCUUAAGGAACUCGGCAAAUUGACUACCGUAACUUCGGAAUAAGGAGGGCCAUUAUUCUUGAUAAAAAUUUUUGAUAUAUCAAGUAAAUAAGAGGAAGCAUAAAAUAAUGUUGUACGACUGUUUAAUAAAAACAAAGCACUCUGCAAAGAUUAAUAAUCAAAGUAUUGAGUGUGAUGUCUGCCCAAUGUCGGCUGGGUAACGAAUUUACUUAAUUGUAAAAUUAGGUUUUGAAGGAUACCCCGAUUAAUGGCGGUCUUACCUAUAAGGAUCCAAAGGUAGCGAAAUUCCUUGGCCGUUAAAUGCGGUCCUGCAUGAGUAAAAUUUGAGUUUAGGUAACUCGAAAAAU